UGGCCGCCUUUAAUUUUUCCUUGAAAGCGAAUGCGCGGCACGAACGAAGUUGGCGUCAAUCAUCAAAACGGCGCCUCUUAGUUCCGGAUUCCACCGUAGACGGCGUGGGGUAGCAGCACCGAUCAAGGGUUCGGUUGCCUAGGUUACUACACGCUAUAUUUAGACCGAUUUUUUACUAACAGGGCUGCGGCGACUGCGGACUCGCCGAAGAUCGUGACCUCGUGACUCUCUCCUGGCGGUCUGGUUGCUUUGGGUCUUUUUUUGCGUUAUUGGUAAGGUUUAGGAAGAGAGAGAGAAGGAGGAGAGGAAUCUUCAUUGAGAAAAGUGACACAUUUUUUACAAGUGAAGACAUUACAAGUUGUUAUCAUUUGUUUCAUCCUCACCCUCCUAUGCAAAAUUGAUUGUCAGCACUUGAUCCCAAAAAGAUCAGGUUGUCUCCGUUUUAUUUCCACCAAUCUUGGACCCAGAGAACGGCGCUCUGGAGACAACAAGAAAUAGAGGGAUAGGUGAUGUAAGAACGGUGUCAGGAGGGCGAUUGAUACGAGUAGCGAGAAAUCUCGCAACAUGGAAAAACCUGGAAGAGAUCUAUACCUGACACAGGACUGGAUGGACACAGACAGAAGACGGAACAAGAAAUCCCUUGGAGAAAAUAUUAUCUGCAGAUGGAUUUCUAAGACUGCAAAAUUGUGCUAUACCAGUUAGAUGCAUUGGUAUAUAGUAUUUAUCUAAUAUAAGUUAAACGAGA
Anthonomus grandis grandis is the source of this 745-nucleotide long non-coding RNA. RefSeq lists it as uncharacterized. The transcript is spliced from 2 exons. NCBI's taxonomy places the organism in Eukaryota, Metazoa, Arthropoda, Insecta, Coleoptera, Curculionidae. The record is from RefSeq and is a predicted model, not a curated record.